Molecule: ribosomal RNA, 402 nt
Filed under: uncultured bacterium
Lineage: Bacteria
Description: bacterial SSU rRNA
Rfam family: Bacterial small subunit ribosomal RNA
Source: RNAcentral
UCGGGAAUUUUGGGCAAUGGGCGAAAGCCUGACCCAGCAACGCCGCGUGAGGGAUGAAGUAUUUCGGUGUGUAAACCUCGAAAGAAUGGGAAGAAUAAAUGACGGUACCAUUUAUAAGCUCCGGCUAACUACGUGCCAGCAGCCGCAGUAAUACGUAGGGAGCAAGCGUUGUUCGGAUUUACUGGGCGUAAAGGGCGCGUAGGCGGCGCGGUAAGUCACUUGUGAAAUCUCUGAGCUUAACUCAGAACGGCCAAGUGAUACUGCUGUGCUAGAGUGCGGAAGAGGCAACCGGAAUUCUUGGUGUAGCGGUGAAAUGCGUAGAUAUCAGGAGGAACACCUGAGGCGAAGGCGGGUUGCUGGGCCGACACUGACGCUGAUGCGCGAAAGCCAGGGGAGCAAACG